AUGCUAUACUGGGGAAGUUGUUUUAGCAACCCUUGACACUUCCUACCUUUAGUCAAGCAUAUUAUAAGCGGCUUAGCCGCCAAAGGAGAAUCAAA
This 95-nucleotide non-coding RNA is filed under the name Streptococcus ferus. Its description in RNAcentral is "preQ1-II (pre queuosine) riboswitch". It matches the Rfam family "PreQ1-II (pre queuosine) riboswitch aptamer". From Rfam's summary of the family: Q is a hyper modified nucleoside present in some anticodons in tRNAs (Try, Asn, Asp and His). The record is from RNAcentral. Lineage: Bacteria; Bacillati; Bacillota; Bacilli; Lactobacillales; Streptococcaceae.